UGCGAUCGCAGUGACGAAAGCGGUUAGGUUUACCCACGAAUGGAAGUGUGGGGAGAUAGUGAUAAGCUGUCGGCUAGAAUCCGACACCAAGUGAAACACCGAAGUACGAAAGGGGUGACCUGAGUAGGAAGUAGCUGAUACCGAUUUCCAAGAAAAGCUGCUAGCUUAAGCACAAUCGGCCCGUACCGAGAACGGACACACGUGGUCAAGGAGAGUAUCCUAAGGUGAGCGAGAUAACUGUUGUUAAGGAACUCUGCAAAAUUACUUCGUAAGUUAGCGAGAAGAAGUGCUCCGUAAAAGGAGCCGCAGUGAAGAGGCCCAAGUAACUGUUUACCAAAAACACAGCUCUAUGCUAAGUCGUAAGACGAUGUAUAUGGGGUGAAGCCUGCCCGGUGCCGGAAGGUUAAUAGGAGAGGUGAAAGCUUUGAAUUGAAGCCCCGGUGAACGGCGGCCGUAACUAUAACGGUCCUAAGGUAGCGAAAUUCCUUGUCAGGUAAGUUCUGACGUGCACGAAUGGUUUAAUAAUUUGGGCGCUGUCUCGACAGCAGACUCGGUGAAAUCUUAAUACCGGUGAAGAUGCCGGUUACCCGCGACUAGACGGAAAGACCCCAUGGAGCUUUACUACAACUUAAUAUUGAGUAAUUGCAAAUCAUGUAGAGGAUAGGUGGGAGGCUAUGAAGUAAUGGCGCUAGCUAUUAUGGAGCCGCCCUUGGAAUACCACCCUUGAUUUACAGUUAUUCUAACUUCCUCCCUGGAUGGGAGGGAAGACAGUGUUAGGCGGGUAGUUUGGCUGGGGCGGCCGCCUCCCAAAUAGUAACGGAGGCGCCCUAAGGUACCCUCAGUAUGGUCGGAAAUCAUACGUAGAGCGCAAAUGCAUAAGGGUGCUUGACUGCGAGACACACAGGUCGAGCAGGUACGAAAGUAGGGAUUAGUGACCAGGCGGUUUCAUUGUGGAAUGGCCGUCGCUUAACGGAUAAAAGCUACCCUGGGGAUAACAGGCUGAUCGCGUCCAAGAGUUCACUUCGACGACGCGGUUUGGCACCUCGAUGUCGGCUCAUCACAUCCUGGAGGGGCAGUACCUUCCAAGGGUUAGGCUGUUCGCCUAUUAAAGUGGUACGCGAGCUGGGUUCAAAACGUCGUGAGACAGUUUGGUCCCUAUCUGUCGUGGGCGUAGGAAGUUUGAAAGGAUCUGACCCUAGUACGCAAGGACCAGGUUGGACGUAACUACGGUACACCGGUUGUUUCGCCAGAAGCAUAGCCGGGUAGCCGCUUACGGAUCGAAUAAACGCUGAAAGCAUCUAAGCGUGAAAUCGUCCUUAAGAUGAGACUUCCGAUUCUAACGAAUUAAGAUCCCUUCUAUGUUAGGAGGUUGAUAGGUCACAGAUGUACGCAUAGUGAUAUGUUUAGUCGAGUGAUACUAAUAGAUCGAUCACUUAUUUCA
This 1441-nucleotide ribosomal RNA is filed under the name human gut metagenome. RNAcentral describes it as "bacterial LSU rRNA". It matches the Rfam family "Bacterial large subunit ribosomal RNA", at positions 1460 to 2925 of the family's 2925-position model. The record is from RNAcentral.